Molecule: ribosomal RNA, 492 nt
Filed under: uncultured bacterium
Lineage: Bacteria
Description: partial 16S ribosomal RNA
Rfam family: Bacterial small subunit ribosomal RNA
Source: RNAcentral
AUUGAACGCUGGCGGCAUGCUUUACACAUGCAAGUCGAACGGUAACAGGCCUUCGGGUGCUGACGAGUGGCGAACGGGUGAGUAAUGCAUCGGAACGUACCCAGAGGUGGGGGAUAACGCAGCGAAAGCUGUGCUAAUACCUCAUGUGAUCUGAGGAUGAAAGCGGGGGACCGAGCAGCAAUGUUUGGCCUCGCGCCUUUGGAGCGGCCGAUGUCGGAUUAGCUAGUUGGCGGGGUAAAGGCCUACCAAGGCGACGAUCCGUAGCUGGUCUGAGAGGACGACCAGCCACACUGGGACUGAGACACGGCCCAGACUCCUACGGGAGGCAGCCGUGGGGAAUUUUGGACAAUGGGCGCAAGCCGGAUCCAGCAAUGCCGCGUGCGGGAAGAAGGCCUUCGGGUUGUAAACCGCUUUUGGCAGGAACGAAACGGUGUCCGCUAAUACCGGGCGCUAAUGACGGUACCUGCAGAAUAAGCACCGGCUAACUACGUG